This 485-nucleotide ribosomal RNA is filed under the name uncultured bacterium. RNAcentral's name for it is "partial 16S ribosomal RNA". It matches the Rfam family "Bacterial small subunit ribosomal RNA", at positions 28 to 523 of the family's 1533-position model. The record is from RNAcentral.
GACGAACGCUGGCUGCGUGCUUAACACAUGCAAGUCGAACGCUGAAGCCCGAAGCUUGCUUCGGGUGGAUGAGUGGCGAACGGGUGAGUAACACGUGAGUAACCUGCCCCUGAUUUCGGGAUAAGCCUGGGAAACUGGGUCUAAUACCGGAUACGACCACCUGACGCAUGUCGGGUGGUGGAAAGUUUUUCGAUCGGGGAUGGGCUCGCGGCCUAUCAGCUUGUUGGUGGGGUAAUGGCCUACCAAGGCGACGACGGGUAGCCGGCCUGAGAGGGCGACCGGCCACACUGGGACUGAGACACGGCCCAGACUCCUACGGGAGGCAGCAGUGGGGAAUAUUGCACAAUGGGGGAAACCCUGAUGCAGCGACGCAGCGUGCGGGAUGACGGCCUUCGGGUUGUAAACCGCUUUCAGCAGGGAAGAAGCGAAAGUGACGGUACCUGCAGAAGAAGUACCGGCUAACUACGUGCCAGCCGCCGCUGUAA